AUACGGAGGAUCCGAGCGUUAUCCGGAUUUAUUGGGUUUAAAGGGUGCGCAGGCGGGAGAUUAAGUCGGCGGUGAAAUUUUGCAGCUCAACUGUAAAAGUGCCUUCGAAACUGGUUUCCUUGAGUGUAGAUGAAGUAGGCGGAAUUUGUGGUGUAGCGGUGAAAUGCGUAGAUAUCACGAGGAACUCCGAUUGCGCAGGCAGCUUACUAAACUACUACUGACGCUCAGGCACGAAGGCGUGGGGAUCAAACAGGAUUAGAUACCCUGGUAGUCCACGCAGUAAACGAUGAUUACUAGCUGUUUGCGAUACAAUGUAAGCGGCUGAGCGAAAGCGUUAAGUAAUCCACCUGGGGAGUACGUUCGCAAGAAUGAAACUCAAAUGAAUUGACGGGG
This 393-nucleotide ribosomal RNA is filed under the name uncultured bacterium. Its description in RNAcentral is "partial 16S ribosomal RNA". It matches the Rfam family "Bacterial small subunit ribosomal RNA", at positions 523 to 918 of the family's 1533-position model. The record is from RNAcentral.